This 619-nucleotide ribosomal RNA is filed under the name uncultured bacterium. RNAcentral's name for it is "bacterial SSU rRNA". The stretch from base 1 to 547 matches the Rfam family "Bacterial small subunit ribosomal RNA", at positions 338 to 873 of the family's 1533-position model. The record is from RNAcentral.
CCUACGGGAGGCAGCAGUGGGGAAUUUUGGACAAUGGGCGCAAGCCUGAUCCAGCCAUGCCGCGUGCAGGAUGAAGGCCUUCGGGUUGUAAACUGCUUUUGUACGGAACGAAAAGACUCUGGUUAAUACCUGGGGUCCAUGACGGUACCGUAAGAAUAAGCACCGGCUAACUACGUGCCAGCAGCCGCGGUAAUACGUAGGGUGCGAGCGUUAAUCGGAAUUACUGGGCGUAAAGCGUGCGCAGGCGGUUAUAUAAGACAGAUGUGAAAUCCCCGGGCUCAACCUGGGAACUGCAUUUGUGACUGUAUAGCUAGAGUACGGGCAGAGGGGGGUAUGGAAUUCCGCGUGUAGCAGUGAAAUGCGUAGAUAUGCGGAGGAACACCGAUGGCGAAGGCAAUCCCCUGGGCCUGUACUGACGCUCAUGCACGGAAAGCGUGGGGAGCAAACAGGAUUAGAUACCCCUGGUAGUCCACGCCCGUAAACGAUGUCAACUGGUUGUUGGGUUCUUCACUGCUCAGUACGAAGCUAACGCGUGAAGUUGACCGCCUGGGGNGACGCCGCGAGUAGACGUANANAGAGUGCGNGNGAGACGNGCCGAGGACGACGACGAGGGAGGAGG